Molecule: ribosomal RNA, 253 nt
Filed under: uncultured bacterium
Lineage: Bacteria
Description: partial 16S ribosomal RNA
Rfam family: Bacterial small subunit ribosomal RNA
Source: RNAcentral
UACGUAGGGUGCAAGCGUUGUCCGGAAUUAUUGGGCGUAAAGAGCUCGUAGGCGGCUUGUUGCGUCGGCUGUGAAAACCUGGGGCUCAACCCCGGGCCUGCAGCCGAUACGGGCAAGCUAGAGUUCGGUAGGGGAGACUGGAAUUCCUGGUGUAGCGGUGAAAUGCGCAGAUAUCAGGAGGAACACCGGUGGCGAAGGCGGGUCUCUGGGCCGAUACUGACGCUGAGGAGCGAAAGCGUGGGGAGCGAACAGG